UACGGGGGGGGCAAGCGUUGUUCGGAAUUACUGGGCGUAAAGGGCUCGUAGGCGGCCAACUAAGUCAGACGUGAAAUCCCUCGGCUUAACCGGGGAACUGCAUCUGAUACUGGAUGGCUUGAGAUUGGGAGAGGGAUGCGGAAUUCCAGGUGUAGCGGUGAAAUGCGUAGAUAUCUGGAGGAACACCGGUGGCGAAGGCGGCAUCCUGGACCAACACUGACGCUGAGGAGCGAAAGCGUGGGGAGCAAACAGG
RNAcentral lists this ribosomal RNA (253 nucleotides) under uncultured bacterium. RNAcentral's name for it is "partial 16S ribosomal RNA". It matches the Rfam family "Bacterial small subunit ribosomal RNA", at positions 524 to 776 of the family's 1533-position model. The record is from RNAcentral.